Molecule: unclassified non-coding RNA, 343 nt
Filed under: soil metagenome
Description: partial contains 5.8S ribosomal RNA, internal transcribed spacer 2, and large subunit ribosomal RNA
Rfam family: 5.8S ribosomal RNA (bases 1-120)
Source: RNAcentral
GAUGAAGAACGUAGCGAAAUGCGAUAAGUAAUGUGAAUUGCAGAAUUCAGUGAAUCAUCGAAUCUUUGAACGCACAUUGCGCCCCUUGGUAUUCCGGGGGGCAUGCCUGUUCGAGCGUCAUUAUAACCCCUCAAGCUCAGCUUGGUGUUGGGCCGCGCCGCUGCACCAGCAGCUGGCGGGCCUCAAAAUCAGUGGCGGUGCCGUCUCGGCUCUAAGCGUAGUAACAUCUCUCGCUCUGGAGACCUGGCGGUGGCUUGCCAGACAACCCCCAACUUUCUUUAAGGUUUGACCUCGGAUCAGGUAGGGAUACCCGCUGAACUUAAGCAUAUCAAUAAGCGGAGGA